UCUCGGCCCUCACACCCCUCCCGGCCCUCGGGCCCCCCCGGCCCUGCCUCGGGCGGUACCGGAGCGCUGUUUGUUUCCUUCUGGGAGCCCGUGAGGCUUCUCGGUGCUGUCGUGUAGCCUUUUGGAGCCGAUCCCAGCAUCGUUACCGCAUUAAAAGUCGAUUUCAUUAACCUUUAGCGGCCUUAGGGGUAAAGUGCUUGUUUUCUAGUGGCUGCUUCCCCACAGCUGUGUUUGGUUGAACUGGAGCAUGGAGCCCAUCUCCCUGCCAGAACCAGGCAGUCCUGCGGGAAACAGCUCAUCUGUGGCACAGGAAAAAUUCCGUGUGCUGGUGGGAGUGACUGGAAGCGUGGCUGCCCUCAAGCUGCCCCUGCUCGUUGCAGAAUUGCUGAAAAUCCCUGGGCUUGAGGUGAAGGUGGUCACUACUGAGAGAGCAAAACAUUUCUACAGUGUCCAGGAGAUUCCCGUGGCCCUCUAUGGUGAUGAAGAGGAGUGGCAGCUGUGGAAGGGCCGCUCAGACCCCGUCCUGCACAUUGAGCUCCGGCGCUGGGCUGACCUCAUGGUGGUGGCACCUCUGGACGCCAACACGCUGGCCAAGGUGGCCAAUGGCAUCUGUGACAACCUGCUGACUUGUGUCAUCCGCGCGUGGGACCUGAGCAAACCCCUGCUCUUCUGCCCAGCCAUGAACACGGCCAUGUGGGAGCAUCCCAUCACAGCUCGGCAGGUGGAGCAGCUGAAGGCCUUUGGCUACACGGAGAUCCCCUGUGUGGUGAAGAAACUCGUGUGUGGAGAUGAAGGCACUGGAAAUUGCUGCAUGGGAAGAGAGGUGUCUGAAGGUGAUGAAUGGUUUUGCUGUGUUUGCCAAGCAGAUGGGCAUCAAAAUACCUGGGCUUGCCCUUCCUGGCUGGAAGAGUGAAAUUCCCUAAAACAGCUCACAAAUGCAGGCCAAAUCGGGAGUUUCAGGAGAAAAAGAGGAAGGUUGGAGGUGCCAUUGCAGAGGAAGGGAGAGGCCUGGCUCAGCAGUCUGAGUUGAUGUCUCCUGUGCCAGCAGGACUGAUGCCUCAGCAAGGAGCUACUCUGAUCAUCUGAGGCCCUAAGGCAGAGAUGAAUGACAGUGGAAGUUGAGAGAAGGAAAUUCCCAGGAAAAAGAACAAAACAGCAGGUAAUUGCUCAGAGAACAGGUAGAAACUCCCCUGUCUGCGGCAGAGAAGUGUAAGAGUGAGAAAAUGUUGAAAUUUAGCUUUCAGAGUCCAGCUGGAUGCCUGGCAGCAGUGAUGUGGCCAAACUGGGAUGAGGAAAGGUGUUUCUUGAGUAAAGUUAUGUAAAUGUUGAGCCUUAAAGGGAUUAUCUGCCAUUUUGAGGGAAUUGUGAUCCUGUUCAGCGAGGCAAAAAUUAACACUGAUCAUUUUAAUACUCAUAAUGCCAAAUAACAAGCUGUAUUAUCCACGCAUUUGCUCGUUUUAAUGCAUAAUAACUGCUCUUUGUUGCACACUAAUAUAGAGCAUCUCAUAAUUGAAUGUAAUAACCAUUCUCUAAUUGCAUUACCAUUUGACCAAAGACAAUAUUAAUUAAUAUCGCCUGAUCGAUGAGCUCCAGACAAAGCAGUGGUGUGUAAACUUUGGAGCCAAGGGACUGGAAAUUCAGCGCCAGCUCCUCCCAGAUCCUUGCUUUCUUUGAGGCUGCCGCAAAACUGCUAUAAAUUAAAGCUGUGAGUGGAAAAUAAUGCUUGUGAGGCCAAGGAGAGAAGAAUUUAAACCGUGCUUUCUCGGUCUUUGUUCAGUGAAGUAAUAAAAAAGUGGAAUUUUUUCUUUUUCACUUAGAAAUCUUUUAUUUGGCCCUGCCUGAGGGAGCCGAGCCUCUGCCACUGCUUCACUCCACGGCCUUGGGCAACGCACUUGAUCCGCCAGGAUCUGUGUCACUGGGUUAAUCAUAUUUACGUGCCUUUUAUGAGGGUUAAUGAUUAGUUUGGGAAUGUUUGCAUGGACUUUUCCAGACGCGACUCCUUAGAUAAAGGCUCCGUG
This is an RNA transcript of Hirundo rustica (Barn swallow), 2018 nucleotides long. It is a transcript of the gene named phosphopantothenoylcysteine decarboxylase, with no coding region annotated. The transcript has 7 exons. The record is from RefSeq and is a predicted model, not a curated record. NCBI's taxonomy places the organism in Eukaryota, Metazoa, Chordata, Aves, Passeriformes, Hirundinidae.